RNAcentral lists this ribosomal RNA (253 nucleotides) under uncultured bacterium. Its description in RNAcentral is "partial 16S ribosomal RNA". It matches the Rfam family "Bacterial small subunit ribosomal RNA", at positions 524 to 776 of the family's 1533-position model. The record is from RNAcentral.
UACAGAGGGUGCAAGCGUUGUUCGGAAUUACUGGGCGUAAAGCGCACGUAGGCGGAUUGGAAAGUUGGGGGUGAAAUCCCGGGGCUCAACCCCGGAACUGCCUUCAAAACUCCCAGUCUGGAGGUCGAGAGAGGUGAGUGGAAUUCCGAGUGUAGAGGUGAAAUUCGUAGAUAUCGAGAGGAACACCGGUGGCGAAGGCGGCCUUCUGGACAGCAACUGACGCUGAGACGCGAAAGCGUGGGGAGCAAACAGG